This 559-nucleotide ribosomal RNA is filed under the name Filobasidium uniguttulatum. Its description in RNAcentral is "eukaryotic LSU rRNA". It matches the Rfam family "Eukaryotic large subunit ribosomal RNA", at positions 61 to 613 of the family's 3401-position model. Lineage: Eukaryota; Fungi; Basidiomycota; Tremellomycetes; Filobasidiales; Filobasidiaceae. The record is from RNAcentral.
GAAACUAACAAGGAUUCCCCUAGUAACGGCGAGCGAAGCGGGAAGAGCUCAAAUUUGAAAUCUGGUGGCCUCAGGUCAUCCGAGUUGUAAUCUAUAGAAGUGUUUUCCGUGCUGGCCCAUGUACAAGUCCCUUGGAACAGGGCGUCAUAGAGGGUGAGAAUCCCGUCCUUGACAUGGACUACCAGUGCUCUGUGAUACACUUUCAACGAGUCGAGUUGUUUGGGAAUGCAGCUCAAAAUGGGUGGUAAAUUCCAUCUAAAGCUAAAUAUUGGCGAGAGACCGAUAGCGAACAAGUACCGUGAGGGAAAGAUGAAAAGCACUUUGGAAAGAGAGUUAAACAGUAUGUGAAAUUGUUGAAAGGGAAACGAUUGAAGUCAGUCGUGCUCAAUGGACUCAGCCGUUCUGCGGUGUAUUUCCAUUGGGUGGGGUCAACAUCAGUUUUGAUCGCUGGAUAAAGGCAGGAGGAAUGUAGCACCCCCGGGUGAACUUAUAGCCUCUUGUCACAUACAGUGGUUGGGACUGAGGAACGCAGCAUGCCUUUAUGGCCGGGAUUCGUCCA